UACUCAAGAAGGAAGGGCUGAUCAGAGUUGGGGUAGCCUUCAGUUUUAUGAGGAGGCAGAUCUAACCACUGCAACUGCGGUGCACCUAGGGAUACGACUACUCGGGCCCCGAUGAUCCAUCCCGGAUGAAAUCAGAUGACUUGUCCAUGGAUGAAGUUAUAGCGCGAUUGAGGCACCUGUUCAAGCACGCGAGAGUGAUCCCGACUAUUGUUCGGGAGUUCUGCACCGCGAACACGCCAUGUAGUGUAAGUACCCAUGGCCUUAGCCUCAGAGUACUAAUUUUUGUACUUGUUGAUUUUCUAACUUGUCUUCUCAUGUAGGAGGAUAUUCACUUAUUUUGCUC
Molecule: long non-coding RNA, 343 nt
Filed under: Setaria italica (foxtail millet)
Lineage: Eukaryota; Viridiplantae; Streptophyta; Magnoliopsida; Poales; Poaceae
Description: long non-coding RNA (SITA_LNC003170)
Source: RNAcentral